Molecule: transfer RNA, 72 nt
Filed under: Desulfobacteraceae bacterium
Lineage: Bacteria; Pseudomonadati; Thermodesulfobacteriota; Desulfobacteria; Desulfobacterales; Desulfobacteraceae
Also listed under: 2 other names
Description: tRNA-Val
Rfam family: tRNA
About the family: Transfer RNA (tRNA) molecules are approximately 80 nucleotides in length. Their secondary structure includes four short double-helical elements and three loops (D, anti-codon, and T loops).
Source: RNAcentral
GGGCGGAUAGCUCAGCGGGAGAGCAUCGGCCUUACAAGCCGGGGGCCGCAGGUUCAAAUCCUGUUCCGCCCA